CAACUAGAUGCAGUGCUAGGCUUCACUCUGCAAGGUGUUUAAAAAGAAAAACAGGUUUACCCAGGAUUUAUCAUGUAUGGAAAAAUGUAAUCUCUAAGUAGGCUGUCUGCUAAUGUCUGGCAUAAUGUUUCUUCAUAAUGGUUAACCCUUUUUCAGGGAGUGGAAUAAUCAAACAGUGCCUCUCUCUAGAUGGGAACUUUGCUUCAUGGGACAUUACAGUAAUCAAGAUGUAUGGUGUAUGUGGUAAACAUGUGGGAAAAGACAAGACAAAGUGUGGUGACCGAAAGAAAAGAAAGAAGAUAAAGUGGAGAGCAGGGCUAAGAGGUCUAUUUAAGACCCUCACACGUAAGAAACUGUUUAAGUAACUGUAAUAAAUCAUUCAUGAGUGAGCAGUAAAACACUGUUUAAUCAUUAAUUAACCAUGUAUUAACAGUAGAAAAUAUUAACAAUUCAUUCUUAAUGUACUUGAUGACAGCUACAGUAUUAAGUGCUAUGGAUUCAUGUAAUUGACUAUUUAACUUAUUUUCUAAUUAAGUUUUAAUAUAGUUGUAAUUAAAUUAUUGGAGUUUUUGCUUCUGUUAACCACCUAAAUAAUAUGAUGUUAUACAUGAUGGUUUCAGUCUAAUGUUACUUUGUUCAUGCUUUGCUUAUUGCUAAUGUGCCCUUCUACACAGAUGUAGGCCCAUUUAAAUCGUAAAAUUUCUCCAAAGGCAAUCGAAUAGCGAUUUAGCCUAAUCAUUUGUUUAAAGUUGACAAUGACUUGACUUGAUCAAAGACAAAGCUAGAAUUCUUGGAUGACUGGUACUCCUAGAUUAACUGCCAUGUAAAUCCUAUUCCUGAUACAAACUACAACUCAAAUAUUACUUACGGAAAUUCUGCACAUUUAACUAAAGCCUCACACUUCUGUUGCACUUGCUAACACACUCAUUUUUUUUUAAAUAAGGGAACAAUAUAUAAAAAAAUGACAACAGAUAUUUUGCCUCAAAGACAACAUCUAACUUAGGCAAUGAUAUCUCAUUUUAUGUACUUUUGAGUUGAGAGAGAGAGACAGAGACAGAGACAGAGAGGAAAGGGAGAGAGAGAAAAGAGAGGAGAGAGAGACAGAGAGAGACAGAGAGAAAGGACUCAGAAUAAACAAUUUGUUGCUGUAGAGACUAGGAAAGCAAUGUAAAUUGUGGCCUUAAUAUUUUCUUCUUCUAGUUAAUAUUAUAACAAUGAUUCUUAAUAAUUACAUUUGUAGAAAAACAAAGUGUAUUAACUUGUUUAUGUGUCAGGAACGUGAGAAGAUUGACCAUCUGCUGUGGAGCCAUAGAUCCUAGGAUGCAUUUUACUGAAAUAGAAUAUUAACAUUUUUAAUCAAGUGUUUACAGAAAGUAAAUAUUUCACUUGGCCAUUGGAACAGUAAAAGUAUUUUCAAUCUUCGGUGGCUCUGCAUUAGUCACAAAGAGGAGGUAAACAUAAACAGGAACAGAAACGAAUCUCAGAUCCUCGGGUUAACUGGGGUAUAUUGAAUGUAAAGGACUCCUUUUACAGAGCCAUCAGUUCACAUCACAGAGAUAUGGCCCUGUGGCCUUUGUCACACUUGUCAAUCAAUCCCCACCGUUAUUCAAUCAGGUGGUAAGCAGGGAAUCCUAGACCAGAGGGUACAGUUCUGAAUACACGGAUUUGUCUACCCUAACAAGGCUGCAUUUGCUUUAAUGACUCUGCCCAGUCACUAACGCUACCCAUGCCUCCCACAGGCAACAUUUCAGAAGUGUCAUAGAGAAAAUGUGAUUGCUAGGGCUUCCGAAGUUUUCUUUCCUUUCUUUGAAAUUAAGUUUCAUAUAUUUCCAAGUGUGAACUGACUGGCUUUUAUAGUAUAAGCUUUUCAGAGUAGAAGGUGAGCAUCAAAAAGCAUUGCUUAGAAUAACAACAAUAUUUUGUUGUAUGGACAAGACAAAUCUAUUCUUCACGGCAGGCAUAAGGCUAUUGACCCAAACCACAGUUCCCAGGCUGAGGAUGGGAUGGGCAAUGCCAUGCUGGAGUGGGUGAGGUGUCUUCUCAUAGAACAAGAAAGUUGUUGCGAUUUUUUUCUGCGGCAUCUUUUCAGAGGAUGACACAGUUCAGUGCUUGCAAUUACUUAAGCUCCAUCGUGCUGAAUGGAGACAAAGUUACAACUUUUGAGAUUACUACUGACAACAGAGCAUAUUCCUGUCUGUGAGAGAACUUGUUAAGGGACCUAUACAAAGUGCUGUGGCUGAGUGUAAUUGCAACCAUUGGGGUGGGGGAGGAUCAGGUCAGAAAGCCUGUCUGGUGGUUUCAUACCCAGCUCACACUCACAGGCAGCUAUCCUGAACGUAACUAAGUUUUCCUGAAUUAAACGGUUACUGUAGGGCUUCAGACAUGGCUUAGUCCUUAAGAAUAUUUACUGAUUGUGUGGAAGACACCACGUUGGUUCCCAAUAUCAACAAGUAAGGUUGCUUACAACCGUCUGUAACUCUGGUUCUAGGAGAUCAGAUGCCCUCUUCUGGCCACUGCAGGUAUCAGAUAUUCACAGGGUGGACAUAAAUAAGUCCAUUCUGGCCAAACCCUCAAAUAAACACAAACAUAGAAAUUAAAGCAGUUGAUAUAACAACCCACUUUUUCUGAGCAUUAAAGUGGUCCAAAGUUAGAGUGGGAUAAUAAGACAGAAAAGGAAGUUUUGUCGAACGCUGCUAGUUUAAAUGACUUUUACAUAUUGGGAAUACUGACUCAGCAGGGAGAGCAAUGAAAAAGGCAUUUAGCUUUGGCUGUCUAGCCGCUGGGAAAUAUUACAGCUGGAAUUUUCACUGCAGACUUUCCGUGUGAGUACUGAGCUAACAUCCCUGAGGGGGAGCAGAGCCCCAGAGUUUAUCCCCGUGUUUACAACCCUGCAGGUCAGCACUGCCCGAUGGGAAAUCAUCCGAGCCACAUACGUAAGCGUAAUGUCCCCCCCCCCCCUAUACAUUUUACUUAA
This is a long non-coding RNA of Mus musculus (house mouse), 2974 nucleotides long. RefSeq annotates it as predicted gene, 52151. NCBI's taxonomy places the organism in Eukaryota, Metazoa, Chordata, Mammalia, Rodentia, Muridae. The record is from RefSeq and is a predicted model, not a curated record. The transcript is spliced from 2 exons.